UCCAGCCUGUGCCCAGCAGCCCCUGAGAACCACGUCUACUCUGAACUGGGUACUGCCUGUUCAGAACAGACGCUGCUUCCCAGACGCUGCCAGCUGGCC
Molecule: microRNA precursor, 99 nt
Filed under: Mandrillus leucophaeus (drill)
Lineage: Eukaryota; Metazoa; Chordata; Mammalia; Primates; Cercopithecidae
Description: miRNA (ENSMLEG00000018444.1)
Rfam family: mir-589 microRNA precursor family
Source: RNAcentral